RNAcentral lists this ribosomal RNA (305 nucleotides) under uncultured bacterium. Its description in RNAcentral is "bacterial SSU rRNA". It matches the Rfam family "Bacterial small subunit ribosomal RNA", at positions 337 to 640 of the family's 1533-position model. The record is from RNAcentral.
GCCUACGGGGCGCAGCAGUGAGGAAUAUUGGUCAACGGGCGAGAGCCUGAACCAGCCAAGUCGCGUGAGGGAAGACGGUCCUAUGGAUUGUAAACCUCUUUUGCCGGGGAGCAAAAAGCGGUACGUGUACCGCAUCGAGAGUACCCGGAGAAAAAGCAUCGGCUAACUCCGUGCCAGCAGCCGCGGUAAUACGGAGGAUGCGAGCGUUAUCCGGAUUUAUUGGGUUUAAAGGGUGCGCAGGCGGCGAGUUAAGUCAGCGGUAAAAUUUCGGGGCUCAACCCCGACAAGCCGUUGAAACUGGCUUG